This 2452-nucleotide long non-coding RNA is filed under the name Triticum aestivum (bread wheat). Its description in RNAcentral is "long non-coding RNA (TAES_LNC021417)". Lineage: Eukaryota; Viridiplantae; Streptophyta; Magnoliopsida; Poales; Poaceae. The record is from RNAcentral.
UCGCGCAGCAAAGAUGCUGAUCCAUCUCCUCUCCGAUGGCUCCUAGGUCCUAGUCGUUUCGUCGCAGGUGGCGCAGUUUGAGGCAGAUUAGAUCGGAUUCCUCACCUCCUCCCCACUCUCAGGCUCCCAGAUCAGCUCGCGGCCGUCCUCCUCCACCCCCCACCCCCUCUCGCGAUUCAGCACUAGCUCAACGCUCGUGGAUCCUCGCCUCCUUCCCAGCCGGCCGCUCUCUGGUUCUGCGAACAGGCCGCCACGGUUCUUCGUUCUGCAGGUAAAUAUAAAUGUUAAUUUUUUAUUAGCUAGUAGAUUGAUACUACAUCUUCAUAGUUUUAUAUUCUUUCUACUUGUUAAUGUCAAAUCCUUUUCAUUUCAGUUGCUGGAGUAGUAACAGCAGAAGAAUGAACAGCAGCUUGAGUAGAAUAGAAGCAGAUCCGUUCUGGUGAUGCUUAUGUUGGUUGGAUUCUUAUUUUAUCCAGAAGCAGCAUGUUGAUUAGUGCUAUGACUUAGUUAUGGUAUUGUGUAUUGCUACCAGAAGCAGCACGUGUACCGACUGUACAUAAACGCUAACCGAUUUCUAGCAUGAAGCAAUACACUAGCAAAUCUAGCUAUUCCGGCGAGAUGCACUAGUACAGGAAGUAGGCUGCUCUGGCUUCGUCGAUUCUUCAGCGGCAAGCCGACACGCACACACGUGAAACACAAUGGCUAUUUUUUUCUCUCCAUGCAAAGAUACAUAUUCAGAUGCAUAUAUACAGUUGAUGUUUUUCUUCUUUGAUCUGUUCCUUAUUUCGACAGUGGCACAAGGCAUCACCAUGUCCAAUCACUCACACUUGUGACAGUUAUUGUUCCCACUACAGAGCUAAUUAUUGUUGUUUUUCUUUUGUCAAUUGCAUGCAAUCCUUUUUCCUCCUAUUGCGAUGAAUAGACACAAAUAUGCCAUUGCAUGUUCUGCUAGGGGAUUCCUUGGGUUGGCAAUUCCUUUUUAAUGCUUACUGCUGAUCUUUCAUCCCCCAAAUUCUGACAUUUGUUAUUGGCUGGGUGCUCACUCCAGUAUUUCUAUGCACAUGAAUAUUUUCUUGUCCUUCUGUUUAGCUUUUUGUACCAGAGUAAUUAAUUACAUUUCCCUAUAAUAGAAUGCUUCCCAUAAGCCAUGCCUUUGAUAUGGCCCAUGUGGCAGAAGUUUGACAUGGAAAAGAUGAUCCCCAGUCUAAAUUUGCAAUUCUCAUCUCAGGAUCCAGUAAUGGAGGGUAGCAGUGCGAUGUCUCCGCUAGGAGAGCCCUCAAUUCCAAUGAUCGCAGCAUGUGCACCAACACUAUCAGGUGUGAGAAUAGCGGUACGAGGAAGUCAAGAUAUCCUGAUGUAUCUAACAUUAUGUUAAUCCCUUGUGUGAUGUUGGUUGAUAAAAAAAUUGUUUGCAGCCAUGGAAUCGGUCAACAGUGUUCAAAAUCAAGGAUGUGUGUAUGUGAUUUAGUACUAAUCCUUCAUCCAUGGCAUGAGCCUAUCUGGCAUCUUGUUCAUUUAUAUUUUCCCGUGCUGCUGUGGUUUUCUUAUUAUUACAAGGUAUAAUAUAAUGCAUGCCAUCAAGUUUUGUUUAUAGCUAUCAAAUUUGAAUAAUAAUUUGCAUCUGCAGGGCAUUCAUAAAACUCCCUUUAAAUUGUUCAAUGCCACUUAUUUGUCGUUCUCAUUUGUGCUUUUAACUAACCUUGGAAUUAUAAUCCAUUUAUUGUAGGUCUAUAAUGAAAUAAUGAACUAUGCUGCAACAAAAAAUUUGUACUCUCUCUAUUAGACAUAUCCAACUAUCACAUGCCAUUUUAUUUUAUUUGGAAAAUCCCCUGUAGAAGCUGGAAAGCCAGCUUGACCUACAAAGUUAUCCUGAUUGGUUACAUAUGUAUUAAUAUGUUUGAGGUUCAACCUAAGUUUUGACAUAGUAUAAGUUAUGUUUCCUAGGUUGGAGUGCUGAAAGAAGCUGGACAUAUACAAUGAUUAUUUCUCUUCUCAAGAUAUGCUAUUUGGUAUAUGUUUUUGACUGACCCCUAUUUACUUGGUAUAUGUUUCUGACUGACCCCUAUUUACUUGGUGUGUUUACCUAGGUAGAUCGAACUGAUCAAGUGUCCAUGGAGGUUGUCAUCUCUCUCCCAGCAGGAAGCUCGAUUGCCAGGAAGCACUAACACGAGGCAAAAUGAUAGAUAUUUUCGUUCUUGUACCAGCAAGAUGCUUGUUGGGCGAUGAUAAUUUCAGUCUUUACCACUUGUUCUUGCCGGCCAUAUACUAAAAAUGAUCUGUAUGCCACAUGUACUCAAGUACUCAAAUGCUUGCUAAGCACUGAUAAUUCCAGUCCUUAAUUUGCUCUACUUCCAGUUCUACUAGCCUUUUGUGAUGUGUUCUCAUGUACUCGAGUACUGAAAUGCUUGCCGAGCAGCUAUCAAUCCUUAAAUUGCUAUAUUUCCAGUUUGAC